RNAcentral lists this ribosomal RNA (588 nucleotides) under Lasiodiplodia pseudotheobromae. RNAcentral describes it as "partial large subunit ribosomal RNA". It matches the Rfam family "Eukaryotic large subunit ribosomal RNA", at positions 67 to 664 of the family's 3401-position model. Lineage: Eukaryota; Fungi; Ascomycota; Dothideomycetes; Botryosphaeriales; Botryosphaeriaceae. The record is from RNAcentral.
AAGGGGGAAUUGCCUUAGUACGGCGAGUGAAGCGGCAACAGCUCAAAUUUGAAAGCUGGCCCUUUUAGGGUCCGCGUUGUAAUUUGUAGAGGAUGAUUCGGCGAGGGCUCCUGCCUAAGUCCCCUGGAACGGGGCGUCAUAGAGGGUGAGAAUCCCGUAUGCGGUAGGUUGCCUUAGCCAUGUGAAUCUCCUUCGACGAGUCGAGUUGUUUGGGAAUGCAGCUCUAAAUGGGAGGUAAAUUUCUUCUAAAGCUAAAUACUGGCCAGAGACCGAUAGCGCACAAGUAGAGUGAUCGAAAGAUGAAAAGCACUUUGGAAAGAGAGUUAAAAAGUACGUGAAAUUGUUGAAAGGGAAGCGCUUGCAACCAGACUUGUCCGCAGUUGCUCAGCCGGUCUCCUGACCGGCGUACUCUUCUGCGGCCAGGCCAGCAUCAGUUCGGGCGGUCGGAUAAAGGCCUCGGGAAUGUAGCUCCUCUCGGGGAGUGUUAUAGCCCGGGGUGGAAUGCGACCAGCCUGGACUGAGGAUCUCGCUUCGGCAAGGAUGCUGGCGUAAUGGUUGUAAGCGGCCGCUGAAAAACCCCGGCACACA